This 379-nucleotide unclassified non-coding RNA is filed under the name uncultured bacterium. Its description in RNAcentral is "contains 16S-23S intergenic spacer region". The record is from RNAcentral.
UCCGGCUUAUCACCGGCAGUCGCCUUAGAGUGCCCAACUAAAUGAUGGCAACUAAGGCCGAGGGCUGCGCUCGUUGCGGGACUUAACCCAACAUCUCACGACACGAGCUGACGACAGCCAUGCAGCACCUGAGCAGGAUGGUAUUGCUACCUCGUUGGGCUUUCACCCUUCUACUACCUGCAUGUCCAGCCUGGGUAAGGUUCUUCGCGUUGCGUCGAAUUAAACCACAUGCUCCACCGCUUGUGCGGGCCCCCGUCAAUUCCUUUGAGUUUCAACCUUGCGACCGUACUCCCCAGGCGGUCUACUUCUCGCGUUAGCUGCGUUACUAAGGGACUCAAACCCCCCACACCAAGUAUCCAUCGUUUAGGGCUAGGACUAC